Molecule: small RNA, 27 nt
Filed under: Bombyx mori (domestic silkworm)
Lineage: Eukaryota; Metazoa; Arthropoda; Insecta; Lepidoptera; Bombycidae
Description: ovarian small RNA-14587
Source: RNAcentral
CGUGUCUUAAAACUCAGCACUCUGAGA